UGCGAUUGUAACAUCCAAUUGAAGCGGUUGAUGAGAAGAGUUAGUUCCCUUUUUCACUACGUAAGCCUCGGGAUGGGCAGCACUUCUGUAUGUGAUUGUAGUAUGUCAUGUCAUCUCUCCUCCUUGCACCGAAAAGUCCAUUUUUUUGAAAUUCCAAUAAAAUGAGAAAAUGAGAGACCCAAAGUAAUGAGAAAAUGACUUCGAAAUUCACUAACUACAACAACGCGC
Molecule: long non-coding RNA, 228 nt
Filed under: Olea europaea (common olive)
Lineage: Eukaryota; Viridiplantae; Streptophyta; Magnoliopsida; Lamiales; Oleaceae
Description: long non-coding RNA (OEUR_LNC002608)
Source: RNAcentral